RNAcentral lists this ribosomal RNA (1273 nucleotides) under Klebsiella pneumoniae. Its description in RNAcentral is "bacterial SSU rRNA". It matches the Rfam family "Bacterial small subunit ribosomal RNA", at positions 42 to 1280 of the family's 1533-position model. Lineage: Bacteria; Pseudomonadati; Pseudomonadota; Gammaproteobacteria; Enterobacterales; Enterobacteriaceae. The record is from RNAcentral.
GCGCAGCCUACCAUAGCAGUCGAGCGGUAGCACAGAGAGCUUGCUCUCGGGUGACGAGCGGCGGACGGGUGAGUAAUGUCUGGGAAACUGCCUGAUGGAGGGGGAUAACUACUGGAAACGGUAGCUAAUACCGCAUAAUGUCGCAAGACCAAAGUGGGGGACCUUCGGGCCUCAUGCCAUCAGAUGUGCCCAGAUGGGAUUAGCUAGUAGGUGGGGUAACGGCUCACCUAGGCGACGAUCCCUAGCUGGUCUGAGAGGAUGACCAGCCACACUGGAACUGAGACACGGUCCAGACUCCUACGGGAGGCAGCAGUGGGGAAUAUUGCACAAUGGGCGCAAGCCUGAUGCAGCCAUGCCGCGUGUAUGAAGAAGGCCUUCGGGUUGUAAAGUACUUUCAGCGGGGAGGAAGGCGAUAAGGUUAAUAACCUUGUCGAUUGACGUUACCCGCAGAAGAAGCACCGGCUAACUCCGUGCCAGCAGCCGCGGUAAUACGGAGGGUGCAAGCGUUAAUCGGAAUUACUGGGCGUAAAGCGCACGCAGGCGGUCUGUCAAGUCGGAUGUGAAAUCCCCGGGCUCAACCUGGGAACUGCAUUCGAAACUGGCAGGCUAGAGUCUUGUAGAGGGGGGGUAGAAUUCCAGGUGUAGCGGUGAAAUGCGUAGAGAUCUGGAGGAAUACCGGUGGCGAAGGCGGCCCCCUGGACAAAGACUGACGCUCAGGUGCGAAAGCGUGGGGAGCAAACAGGAUUAGAUACCCUGGUAGUCCACGCCGUAAACGAUGUCGAUUUGGGAGGUUGUGCCCUUGAGGCGUGGCUUCCGGAGCUAACGCGUUAAAUCGACCGCCUGGGGGAGUACGGCCGCAAGGUUAAAACUCAAAUGAAUUGACGGGGGCCCGCACAAGCGGUGGAGCAUGGGGGUUUAAUUCGAUGCAACGCGAAGAACCUUACCUGGUCUUGACAUCCACAGAACUUGCCAGAAAAUGCUUUGGUGCCUUCGGGAACUGUGAGACAGGUGCUGCAUGGCUGUCGUCAGCUCGUGGUUGUGAAAUGGUUGGGGUUAAGUCCCCGCAACGAAGCGCAACCCUUUAUCCUUUUGUUGCCAGCGGUUCAGGCCGGGAACUCAAAGGAGACUGCCAUUGAUAAACUGGAGGGAAAAGGGGGGGGAUGAACUUCAAGUCAUCUUGGGCCCUUUACGACCAGGGGUUACCACCUUGGUUAAAAUGGCCUAUUUACAAAAAGGAAAGCGACCCUUCGGGAGGACAACGGGACCUCCUAAA